GCCGCUUUAGCUCAGUUGGUAGAGCACGUCAUUCGUAAUGACGGGGUCAGGUGUUCGAGUCACCUAAGCGGCACCA
This 76-nucleotide transfer RNA is filed under the name Agrobacterium sp. RNAcentral's name for it is "tRNA-Thr". It matches the Rfam family "tRNA". From Rfam's summary of the family: Transfer RNA (tRNA) molecules are approximately 80 nucleotides in length. Their secondary structure includes four short double-helical elements and three loops (D, anti-codon, and T loops). The record is from RNAcentral. RNAcentral also lists the same sequence under 18 other names. Lineage: Bacteria; Pseudomonadati; Pseudomonadota; Alphaproteobacteria; Hyphomicrobiales; Rhizobiaceae.